GAUGAACGCUGGCGGCGUGCCUAAUACAUGCAAGUCGAGCGAACGGACGAGAAGCUUGCUUCUCUGAUGUUAGCGGCGGACGGGUGAGUAACACGUGGAUAACCUACCUAUAAGACUGGGAUAACUUCGGGAAACCGGAGCUAAUACCGGAUAAUAUUUUGAACCGCAUGGUUCAAAAGUGAAAGGCGGUCUUGCUGUCACUUAUAGAUGGAUCCGCGCUGCAUUAGCUAGUUGGUAAGGUAACGGCUUACCAAGGCAACGAUGCAUAGCCGACCUGAGAGGGUGAUCGGCCACACUGGAACUGAGACACGGUCCAGACUCCUACGGGAGGCAGCAGUAGGGAAUCUUCCGCAAUGGGCGAAAGCCUGACGGAGCAACGCCGCGUGAGUGAUGAAGGUCUUCGGAUCGUAAAACUCUGUUAUUGGGGAAGAACAUAUGUGUAAGUAACUGUGCACAUCUUGACGGUACCUAAUCAGAAAGCCACGGCUAACUACGUG
This 497-nucleotide ribosomal RNA is filed under the name uncultured bacterium. Its description in RNAcentral is "partial 16S ribosomal RNA". It matches the Rfam family "Bacterial small subunit ribosomal RNA", at positions 28 to 507 of the family's 1533-position model. The record is from RNAcentral.